Molecule: non-coding RNA, 161 nt
Organism: Urocitellus parryii (Arctic ground squirrel)
Lineage: Eukaryota; Metazoa; Chordata; Mammalia; Rodentia; Sciuridae
Source: Ensembl
AAGCACUGUUUGGUGUUUCUUCAAAAACUUGAACAUAUCAGCCUAGCCUGCCUACUCCACCUCCCCUCAGUUGAGCCUAGAGUAGAGGGGCCAGGCACCCUCCUUCAUGGAAGAGAUAUUUGAGGAAGGAACCUCGCCUAGGCUGUCCUAGCCUCACAUUU